Molecule: ribosomal RNA, 453 nt
Filed under: uncultured bacterium
Lineage: Bacteria
Description: bacterial SSU rRNA
Rfam family: Bacterial small subunit ribosomal RNA
Source: RNAcentral
UACGGGAGGCAGCAGUGGGGAAUAUUGCACAAUGGGCGCAAGCCUGAUGCAGCCAUGUCGCGUGUAUGAAGAAGGCCUUCGGGUUGUAAAGUACUUUCAGUCGUGAGGAAGGUGUUAAGGUUAAUAACCUUAGCAAUUGACGUUAGCGACAGAAGAAGCACCGGCUAACUCCGUGCCAGCAGCCGCGGUAAUACGGAGGGUGCGAGCGUUAAUCGGAAUUACUGGGCGUAAAGGGCACGCAGGCGGUUAAUUAAGUUGGAUGUGAAAUCCCCGGGCUUAACCUGGGAAUGGCAUUCAAGACUGGUUAGCUAGAGUCUUGUAGAGGGGGUAGAAUUCCAUGUGUAGCGGUGAAAUGCGUAGAGAUGUGGAGGAAUACCGGUGGCGAAGGCGGCCCCUGGACAAAGACUGACGCUCAUGUGCGAAAGCGUGGGGAGCAAACGAGGAUUAGAUACC